UUGUUUUGGCGGUGACUGUUUUUGCAGAGCUCGGGAUGGAUCCCAGGGCCUGCCUUGCAUAUCCUAAGCACGCGCUCUACUACUGAGUUACGUGUCUGCCUCAAACACCCAUUAAGGACCGGUAAAGGGUUAGUUGCAAUGCAGCUCGAAAAGAAAAUUGCCUGCCGAGAAAGGAGUAAAGGGGCCUGCCCAAGUCGUGGCUUUGUGUUGCCAUUAAAUGAACAGGUAUUAGGGGGUGCAUGCGGUGUGUGUGUUGUAUGCGUGCCCAUGUGAAUAUGCUGCUAAAUACUCAGAGCCUCACACAUACCAAUGUGACUUCAGAGGAGCAGGAGUCCUGGAAGCAUCUACUGUCUCAACCUUUCCCACUAAGUACAAGGGGCAAGUGGUCUGUCCUUGCAGCUGUGACACCUGCUUGCUCCUGUCUGAAGAUCCUUGCCUUUUUCCUAUAUCUGACCUGAGAAAUCCUGGCUCAGACCAUCUCUCUGGGGUCAGGGUCCAGGACUGUAUUUACAGCAAGGACUCCAGUCAAAGUGCAGAUUAACCUAAGCAUCUGGAAGCUCUUUUCUCUGGUUUUCUUGCACAGAAAUUGUUACAGGAAUGCGUUUCUAAAGAGAAAGAUCAUAGAUGUACAAAUGAAGGCCUUCUGGUAUGAUGCAGGAACAUUGUGGAGUCAGCUUUGCUACAGCAGCUGCAGACCAAAGGAUCACCCUAUCCUAGAGCAAAUGCACUUCCAAGGUCAAACUGUGUGCAUGCAUAUGUGCAUGUGUAUGUGUGUGUGA
Long non-coding RNA from Octodon degus (degu), 779 nucleotides. RefSeq lists it as uncharacterized. The transcript is spliced from 3 exons. The record is from RefSeq and is a predicted model, not a curated record. NCBI's taxonomy places the organism in Eukaryota, Metazoa, Chordata, Mammalia, Rodentia, Octodontidae.